UUCAUUGCAGUUUCAUAACAGCUAAGAAGCUAUUCAAGAUCUUGCUGUGAUUUGGUGAACAGUUUUCAUGAAUAUGCUUUCAGUUUAACAGAAGUCCUUACAGUGAAUGGGGUCUUGAACACAGUGUGCCGGGACCAGGCUGUUCUUGCACUGCUGGGAUCACACUGAAGCAGUCGGACAAUGGAGGGAUCAUUCUUCGCUCCCUCGACGAACUCCUCCAGGGACAGUUUACCUGUGAGAGACAUAAAUGAGUUUAACAGCUCUUUUUUUAUAACGCAUGAACUGCUGCAAAAGCUGGCAGAAGGAGGAGGAAGAGACAACAAGCACAACCGCACCAACUGUGAGUGGGAAGCCAGUUUUUAAGGACAGACACAGAAAAAUCAAGAAAAUGGAUUUGUGCUUAAAAUGUAGCUGCAAUAAAACUGAAAAAAAAAAUUGGAAAAAGCAGUGAGCCAUGAAGUAACAGGCCUCCUCUCCUGUAAUGACGCAAUUUAAAACAAAGCAGUUAAAAAGACUGAUAACUGCUGCUGCUGCCAGUGAAACAGUUUCCUCUAAAUUUGAAGAGCACCUUCAAAAUUUAGAUGUGCGUUGUGUGUGUAGGGUGGUGUCGUAACCGGGCUCUCUUUAUAAGACAACCCGUGCAAACAGAAGGUUUGAACAGAAGGCGGGUGGGGCUGCUGUAGACACAGUCAUAGCUGACUGAUCUCAUUGUAGGGAGAUCCUGUCAUGAUUCCAGGGUUUUGUGUGGAUUUUGAGCUUUUUUGUUUGCUUUUAUUAUUAACAUCACCGUUAAUGUUAUUAUUAAGUCGUGAUUUCUCUUUAGUUUCACUGCUGUUUAAGCCCUGCUAGUUUUUUUGUGGUUGCUACUGUCAGGUUGAGGGUUUCCAUACUUGUAAAUGUGAUCGUGAAGCUGCGUCCACACAGGAAAUCAUUUAUAAUUACUAAAUGGCGAUGCAAAGUGGGCGGAUCCUAAGAUGAACUUUUCUCAACUACAAGGUGAGCGAUACAAGCGUCUACCCAUGGCGGCAGAGAUUAUAAGCAAUUGCAAGGUAAUGCAUAGGUUGCAGGGUUACCGUGGCAACUGGAGUCUGGAAUCUCUGUUGGCUUCAAAGCGAUAGGCGAUGAAGGAAUCACUUCCUGUCUGGACGAGGCUUUACUUCUUAUUGAAUUUAUGGAGUUUUAGUGGUCUGGUGUCAGUUUUGAAUUCUUGGUUUUUAUUUGGUUUCACUUCCCAUUUUGAAUUCCUCUUCCUGGGUUUUUAAGUUCCCUCUGUUCAACCCUGUGGCUCUUCUUCCUCUUUAGAUCUUAUUUAGAGUUUGCCUCCUUAUAGCAGUGCAGUUUCACCUUUUUUAAACCCCUUGGCUUUCGACCUUUUUACUUCCUGCCUUUACAAUCGUCUUGAUUGCCUUCACCUUCGUUUCAUUCCCCAUCAGCUCUCAGUGUAUAAACAGUCCCAUUUUCCUUGCAGAUCAUCUAUUGAUGUUGUCCAUGUUUUCUGUGUUUUCUCCCUACGCACUGCUGGAUUCCUGAUUUUCUUUACUUAGUGUAGUUUUUGGACUACAAACAGCCAAUAAAGUGCUUGCUUUUGAUUAAACUUAAUGUCCUCUCUCCACUACCAGAGCUUAUACAUACUCAUGCUGAGCUUUGUAUUUGAAAACUGCAAUGUUGAACAUGAGCAUCCUUUGCUGACAUUAAUAUAUGGAAAUAAUAAGAACAGAUAAUAAGGAGG
Molecule: long non-coding RNA, 1729 nt
Organism: Oreochromis niloticus (Nile tilapia)
Lineage: Eukaryota; Metazoa; Chordata; Actinopteri; Cichliformes; Cichlidae
Exons: 3
Source: RefSeq, a predicted model, not a curated record